ACAUACGACCAUACGCUUUAGAAAGCUCGGCAUCCCGUCCGCUCUGCCCUGGAUAAACUAGAGACGGCUGGAUUAAUACUCAGAUCGGUGAGGGCUGGGGAAUCCCCGGUGUUGUAUGUU
Pestalotiopsis fici W106-1 is the source of this 120-nucleotide ribosomal RNA. The record is from Rfam. NCBI's taxonomy places the organism in Eukaryota, Fungi, Ascomycota, Sordariomycetes, Amphisphaeriales, Sporocadaceae.